This 765-nucleotide ribosomal RNA is filed under the name Triticum aestivum (bread wheat). RNAcentral's name for it is "partial small subunit ribosomal RNA". The record is from RNAcentral. Lineage: Eukaryota; Viridiplantae; Streptophyta; Magnoliopsida; Poales; Poaceae.
AUGGCAGAGGAACCGACCGCCAAGCGUCCUCAUGGCGAGCCGUCAGACAAGAGCAGCAACCUCGUCGACGUUCACGUCCCCGGCGAGAAGCGCGAUUACACGAGAACCCUCACAGAGGUUGAGCUCCACGGCAAGGAGACGCUGGAGAUCGUCUGCACCAGCAAACCAGACAAGGCCGACGAGGUGAUGAGCAGGCUCAGGAUGAAGGGCGGCGGCUUGUAUGCGAGCUUCAUCGGAGUUGAUGUGGAGUACACCAGCGACGAUGAACCUCCACAGAUGGGGGCAGUCCUGCAGUUGUGCGUCGAGGAAUUCUGCUUGGUGUACCACAUCACAGUAGCCACAAAAUGGCCCAAGCGCCUCAAAGACUUCCUGCAGGAGGAGAAAUUGUACACAUUUGUCGGUUUCAGCAUUGGAGGUGACAAGCGGAUGCUGAACAAGUCUGGUUUGGAGAUCAACCCCAACAACUUCAUUGACAUGCAGCGCAAGUGGAAAGAUCCAAAGACCAGCAAAUACUACGACUCCUUGGCCGAUGUUGCAGGCGGCGUAAUCCGCCCAUUCUACAGCGGCAUGAAGAAGAAGAUGGACAAGGGAGACCACAAACUGUGGGGGACCAGCCCACCGCCAGACAACAUCAUCACGUACGCAGGAAUAGAUGCGUACGCCACGUACAAGUCAUGGAAGACAAUCGACAACAUCGUGACAGUUUGGGAUAUUUCAAAAGAGCAGGAGGCUGACCCCUACUACCACUGCAACUUCGCGGGAUGA